GCCCGCCUAGCUCAAUCGGAUAGAGCGUCAGACUCUUAGGUGGGUUACAUCUGAAGGCCGCGAGUUCGACCCUCGCGGUGGGCU
Termitomyces sp. Mi166#008 is the source of this 84-nucleotide non-coding RNA. Lineage: Eukaryota; Fungi; Basidiomycota; Agaricomycetes; Agaricales; Lyophyllaceae. The record is from the annotation of a GenBank genome assembly.